GACGAACGCUGGCGGCGUGCCUAAUACAUGCAAGUCGAACGAACCGCGACUGAGUGCUUGCACUUGGUCAAGGUGAGUGGCGAACGGGUGAGUAACACGCGGGUAACCUACCUCAUAGUGGGGGAUAACAGUCGGAAACGACUGCUAAUACCGCAUAGGACAUAGGAUCACAUGAUCCAGUGAGGAAAGGUGGCGCAAGCUAUCGCUAAGAGAUGGACCCGCGGUGCAUUAGCUAGUUGGUAGGGUAAAGGCCUACCAAGGCGAUGAUGCAUAGCCGACCUGAGAGGGUGAUCGGCCACAUUGGGACUGAGACACGGCCCAAACUCCUACGGGAGGCAGCAGUAGGGAAUCUUCCGCAAUGGACGCAAGUCUGACGGAGCAACGCCGCGUGAGUGAAGAAGGUCUUCGGAUCGUAAAGCUCUGUUGUUAGAGAAGAACAGCGCAUAGAGUAACUGCUAUGCGUGUGACGGUAUCUAACCAGAAAGCCACGGCUAACUACGUG
RNAcentral lists this ribosomal RNA (502 nucleotides) under uncultured bacterium. RNAcentral describes it as "partial 16S ribosomal RNA". It matches the Rfam family "Bacterial small subunit ribosomal RNA", at positions 28 to 507 of the family's 1533-position model. The record is from RNAcentral.